Long non-coding RNA from Thamnophis elegans (Western terrestrial garter snake), 620 nucleotides. RefSeq lists it as uncharacterized. The record is from RefSeq and is a predicted model, not a curated record. The transcript is spliced from 2 exons. NCBI's taxonomy places the organism in Eukaryota, Metazoa, Chordata, Lepidosauria, Squamata, Natricidae.
CUGGGAGGAUGAUGGCAUGCAGGGUGGGACUCUUGUUCUUCCCAGGGUCGCAACAGCAGCUGGAAGGACUCUGAAAAAAAGGAGACUUCUACCUGGUCCUUGAAGGUGUGAUUGCCACAGUGAUUUGGGUGCAACAACUGGCACACAAUGAUAAUGGUCACAGCAUUCUUGGUGUGGAGGAGACAGGAAAUGCUCCGGGUCCCAUCCCUCCUAGGGAGAUACACCUGGUGGGAGCCAGAAGAAGGGCCUUCUCCAUGGUGGCCCCUUCUCUCUGGAACAUCAUCCCACCCAGAGAUUAGAAUGGCUCCCAUUCUAGCACUCUUCCGGAAAGCGCUGAAGACCUGGUUCUGCCAGCAGGCCUGGGAAACCCAGAGCAGGAUGGAGCCCAUUAAAUGGCUCGUGUAAUCUGCUGUCGCCUGGAUGGGGAGGUGGGGGGUGAUUUUGUUAUAUUGUACUGUAUUAAUUGAUUUGAUUCCUUUUGUUAGUUUUUGUUGUUUUAAAUGUAGUUUUAUAUUCUGUAAUCCAUCUUUGAGUUGCUAUGGGCGAAUAGGCAGCAAUAUAAAUUCAAUAAAAUAAAUAAAUAAAAUUCUGCAGUCAGCGAUCACCGUUGACAAACCUCA